This is a long non-coding RNA of Anolis carolinensis (green anole), 1695 nucleotides long. RefSeq lists it as uncharacterized. The transcript has 2 exons. The record is from RefSeq and is a predicted model, not a curated record. NCBI's taxonomy places the organism in Eukaryota, Metazoa, Chordata, Lepidosauria, Squamata, Anolidae.
UUCUCUUCGCAGCGGUCCUUUCGUUGCUGUUCAACGACUACGACUCCCAGCAUGCCAUGCGCGGAAAUGGGAAGUGAUGCGACUUCUGCUAUGGAAAGCACCGGGAACUGAGGGAAAUGCUUCUCAGUCGCGUGAUACGUAACGUCAGGAGGCUUACGUAACCGGAAGGAACCACAAAAGUCAUUUUGUCCAGACUCCUGCUACUGCAGUCACCCACAGCAAAAUCUCUGAUGGCCAUCCAAAUGUGUCCACGACACCAUCUACCAACUUUGUUUCCUUUGUACAUCUGGAAACUUCCAUGCAAAUGGGAACAUAAGCAGACACCAUAUGGGAACUGCUAAUGCAGAAGGCAAGUGUCUUUUUUUAAAACACAUACCAUAUGUGUUUUUAUAAAGAGCUCCAUCAACGUUAGGGAACAGAUUUUUAAAAAAGAAAUUAUCAUUCUCAGAAUCUCCAACUUGAAAAGGUCACAAGCCUCAAGGUCACCUUCUCUUUAGCGGCUUGUCUGGUCUUCUCAUCCAUCCAGUCAAGCUGGUCCAGAGAUUCCUCAAAGGCUGAGCGGAUCUCGGCGAUCAUAUCCUCGGCCUGAAAGCAAACGUUCAAGAAGAGGCAAAAAGGGCAUCAGUGCUUUCCUUCUCACUUUCCAACCCAGUAGCUAUAAAUGGCUUUGCUUUACAUAAAGAACUGGGAAGGAAAAGAAUGGCUUGAUCCUUCCUUUUCCAGCUUUCAUAAAACAUGCCCUUCCCUACAAAUGCUUUUCUUUAGUGGGUUUAAUUUUUCAAAGACCAGUGAAGAGUGUUAGUGGGUUCUCAUGUCCAUCAUAUACAUAUACAGUAAGACGUCUGCAUCCAUGGGGCCAAUAUACAUGGUUUCAUUUAUUCACAUCUAACAAAAUAUGCCAUCUCUAGGCAUUUUCUACAAUAGUGUUCUCUAUUAUCCAUAGUUUUCUGUAUCCACACUAAAUCCAGGAAGGUAUCCUCUACAGAUUACAGGAUCAUACUGUAUAUACUUAAACAUACAAUAUAUAGUAAAUGGGUAUUUGAUCAUUAAACAGGCCUGUAACAAUAAUAUUAAUCAUGCAGCUUUUCCAGCCAUUGUAAUAGUCUAUGCAAGAUCAUCGCACUUCACAAAAGUGCUGGCUUUGGAAUUCCUUGGGGUGCAUCUACACAGUAAAAUUAAUACAGUUUGGCACCACUAACAGCCAUGGCUCAAUGUUAUGGUAUUCUAGGAGUUGUAGUUUGUGGGACACCAGCACUCUUUGGCAGAGAGGGCUAAAAAGACUUUAUGAAACUGCAGCUCCAAUAAUUACCAAGCACAGAGCUAUGGCAGUUAAAAUGGUGUCAAACUACAUUAAUUCUGCAAUGUAGAUACACCCAUAGAAACUGUCCCUUUAUAGUUAGGUGAUAUGCCACUUGGCCUUUGGAAGUGUGAGUAUUCUUGAGCAAAAGAAUGUAUAUGUAAAGAUCAGAAGAAAGGAAAGUCCAUAAUCAGGUCUGGAGAGGGUGCAUUUGGCCCUAAUCCAAUGUGGCCGGUGGUGCGGAUGUCUGGUUCAUUAAAAGGACCUCAAUGAAGGGCAGCUGAGACAAAGGGCAGGUUCGAUUGGCUGAAGGGAUUGGAGCUAUCUUUGUUUUCAGGCUUUAUUGCUGCAUUCCCUUUAACCUCUUCAUGUAAUCAAUAAACCAUCAUUUUGUUGCA